Molecule: long non-coding RNA, 317 nt
Filed under: Marmota monax (woodchuck)
Lineage: Eukaryota; Metazoa; Chordata; Mammalia; Rodentia; Sciuridae
Source: RNAcentral
UCCCGAACUCACACCAGCACUCUACACACGUUCUGGGGAAAUCCACAUUCUGGGCCAAAUCCACGUUCUGGAUCCCAAAUACUCUCUGAAUCCCGUGAGAACUCAACGGGAACUCAAGGAGCGGGCGAGCCUGAGGCAGCAGGAUACGCCCUAUUCCCAGCAGGGUACACCUUAAACCUGGAACCGCCCUAAACCCAAGGAGAGCCCUAAACCCUGAUCCACCCUAAACCCGGAUCCGCCCUGGUCCUUGAGCAAGGUCACCUUACAUGCAAUGUCACUGCAAAUGACCUGGGUCAAUAUGGAGAGUCCUUCCUCUA